RNAcentral lists this microRNA precursor (67 nucleotides) under Bombyx mori (domestic silkworm). RNAcentral describes it as "mir-2774 microRNA precursor family". It matches the Rfam family "mir-2774 microRNA precursor family". Lineage: Eukaryota; Metazoa; Arthropoda; Insecta; Lepidoptera; Bombycidae. The record is from Rfam by way of RNAcentral.
UUAACCUUCGGACCGUCAGACCACCGAGCAAUUUGAUCCGCUCGGUGGAAGAUCUCUCCUUCGUCGC